GCAAUUUCUGUAAUUUUUAAGCACUGUUCUUCCCAUACUAGAGGCUCUGCUCUAACUAUUCAACUCUGUUUGUCCUAGUUUUCCUAAAAUUCCCUUUUCCACUGGUGUGUGGUGCAAGAUGAGGCACAUUUUCCAUGGAUGGUGAACAGAGGGAGGAGCCUUUUGAUCACAACCCGGUCACCCCACUUCUAAGCCACUGUGCCUCCAGCCCCACAAGACUAAGGAGAGAGAGUGCAGAGUGGUGGAGAGUGAGCUGUGCUGGGACCGUUGUUUCCGUAACCUCGUUUUCUGUGUCCAGCUGACACACCUUCAAAGCGGCAUCAGGUCCUACACUGUAGCUUGCAAUGUGCCUGUUUCCAGAAACCAAGGUGAAAGUGCUUUUAGACAGUGUUCCCAUGCAAGAGUCCCUUCCCAGCUUUUUUCUGGAAAUGCAUGUUUCUCUGAACUCUGAGUCCCAAGAAAAAUCAUUUGAGACAUCAAGAAAAUGGGGGAAGUGCUAAAAUUGUGUGGGAAUUCAAGCUUAACAAUAAACAUCAAGACAUUUUUGGUAAAAAUGAAUCCACUGACAUCGGGGAGGAGCAAGAGAACAGCACGCUGACACUGGGUCAGAGGCUAAGACCGACAUUUCUGGGAACCACUCCCGGAAGGGCACAGAUGAGACACUUUCAGCCUCUCGUCAGCCAGCCUGGCCUGUAGCUGCUGCACGUUAUGAGUGUGUUCCUGGCAUGACUGCUUCUAACAGUGACCAUUUCAUUAAGUUUUUAAGUGCCUGGUAAUUGCUUGGUUAUGACCGGUGUCUGCUCCAUGGCAGCCUCUUCCUGUUUUUGCCCGAAUGAUGAAGGAGGAAGUUUACAUCUUGCUCCCUGGGGACAGGCAGAGAUAGUGUGUGCACUUCCAUCCUACAAGGACCAGAUCUGAACAGUCUGGAGAGAGGAGCUGUGGUGGCAGCAGACAGAUCUCUGCUUCAGGGGCCAGGUGUCCAGAAGAAAUGCUGAGGCAGUGUCACGCUGGUGUCUGUCCUCCUUACAGAAUGCCUGAACAGUUCCAUUGACUCAAAGUGAAGAUCAAAAGAACCAAAGGACAGCAAUAGCCAAGUGUAAUCAUCAGUAACCCUGUGUUCUAUCCACAGUUAAAAGAAUAUUGGCAGAGAAACAGCCUUGGUGUUCCAGCAGGAGUGAAGAGGAACAGGAAAACACGUGGCAGUAGCCCUGAAACAGCCACUUCUGGUGGUUGCCACUCACCUGAGGAUGUGAGUCCUGGCAGGCCAGGCUCCUGGGGACAGGGGGCCCAAGGCGCAGUAGAGAGUAAUUUUUAAGAUUAUGGAUGGACUGUUGGGUACUGGUUAAGAAUUCUGGGUUUGGCCAGG
RNAcentral lists this long non-coding RNA (1366 nucleotides) under Pan troglodytes (chimpanzee). Its description in RNAcentral is "long non-coding RNA NONPTRT016080". Lineage: Eukaryota; Metazoa; Chordata; Mammalia; Primates; Hominidae. The record is from RNAcentral.